This 514-nucleotide ribosomal RNA is filed under the name uncultured bacterium. RNAcentral describes it as "partial 16S ribosomal RNA". It matches the Rfam family "Bacterial small subunit ribosomal RNA", at positions 28 to 523 of the family's 1533-position model. The record is from RNAcentral.
GAUGAACGCUGGCGGCGUGCCUAAUACAUGCAAGUCGAGCGAACAGAUGAGAAGCUUGCUUCUCUGAUGUUAGCGGCGGACGGGUGAGUAACACGUGGGUAACCUACCUAUAAGACUGGGAUAACUCCGGGAAACCGGGGCUAAUACCGGAUAAUAUUUUGAACCGCAUGGUUCAAUAGUGAAAGACGGUUUCGGCUGUCACUUAUAGCUGGACCCGCGCCGUAUUAGCUAGUUGGUAAGGUAACGGCUUACCAAGGCGACGAUACGUAGCCGACCUGAGAGGGUGAUCGGCCUCACUGGAACUGAGACACGGUCCAGACUCCUACGGGAGGCAGCAGUAGGGAAUCUUCCGCAAUGGGCGAAAGCCUGACGGAGCAACGCCGCGUGAGUGAUGAAGGUCUUCGGAUCGUAAAACUCUGCUAUCAGGGAAGAACAAAUGUGUAAGUAACUGUGCACAUCUUGACGGUACCUGAUCAGAAAGCCACGGCUAACUACGUGCCAGCCGCCGCAGUAA